UGGGGAAUAUUGGACAAUGGGCGAAAGCCUGAUCCAGCCAUGCCGCGUGAGUGAAGAAUGUCUUCGGAUUGUAAAGCACUUUAAGUUGGGAGGAAGGGCAGUAAGCGAAUACCUUGCUGUUUUGACGCUACCGACAGAAUAAGCACCGGCUAACUCUGUGCCAGCAGCCGCGGUAAUACAGAGGGUGCAAGCGUUAAUCGGAAUUACUGGGCGUAAAGCGCGCGUAGGUGGUUCGUUAAGUUGAAUGUGAAAGCCCCGGGCUCAACCUGGGAACUGCCUCCAAAACUGGCGAGCUAGAGUAGGGCAGAGGGUGGUGGAAUUUCCUGUGUAGGGGUGAAAUGCGUAGAUAUAGGAAGGAACACCAGUGGCGGAGGCGACCACCUGGGCUGAUACUGACACUGAGGUGCGAAAGCGUGGGGAGCAAACAGG
This 429-nucleotide ribosomal RNA is filed under the name Pseudomonadota bacterium. RNAcentral describes it as "Proteobacteria bacterium partial 16S ribosomal RNA". It matches the Rfam family "Bacterial small subunit ribosomal RNA", at positions 355 to 776 of the family's 1533-position model. Lineage: Bacteria; Pseudomonadati; Pseudomonadota. The record is from RNAcentral.